UACGGGGGGGGGCAAGCGUUGUUCGGAAUUACUGGGCGUAAAGGGCUCGUAGGCGGCCAACUAAGUCGGACGUGAAAUCCCUCGGCUCAACCGGGGAACUGCGUCCGAUACUGGAUGGCUCGAGUUCGGGAGAGGGAUGCGGAAUUCCAGGUGUAGCGGUGAAAUGCGUAGAUAUCUGGAGGAACACCGGUGGCGAAGGCGGCAUCCUGGACCGACACUGACGCUGAGGAGCGAAAGCC
Molecule: ribosomal RNA, 239 nt
Filed under: uncultured bacterium
Lineage: Bacteria
Description: partial 16S ribosomal RNA
Rfam family: Bacterial small subunit ribosomal RNA
Source: RNAcentral